Molecule: long non-coding RNA, 446 nt
Filed under: Sinocyclocheilus anshuiensis
Lineage: Eukaryota; Metazoa; Chordata; Actinopteri; Cypriniformes; Cyprinidae
Description: lncRNA (ENSSANG00000021454.1)
Source: RNAcentral
ACGUUUUAGUGUUGAAUGCCUUUAAAUGCCUGUAAACUGGAUGUUUAACUGUUUUACAGGGUGAAGUUGGUGAUCAGGGUUACCCAGGACCACAGGGACCCCCAGGGCCAAAGGGUGAGCAGGGAGAGCCAGGUCCUCAGGGUGACCGAGGAACCGAUGGUCUGCCAGGCUUGAAGGGAGAUGUUGGAGAACAAGGGCCCCAGGGUGAACCGGGCCGCCCUGGUGAAAAAGGCACAUCAGGAUCCGGUGAUAUCAUUGACUUCAAUGGCAAACUCUUAGAUGCCUUUCAGGCCAUCAAAACCAUCAGUGUCUCGGUAACUGUACUGUAGCACGACUUGCCAUUUUUGGUUAUUUCAGUUGAAUGUGCAGCCUAAUUAUCCUUAACAAAUACUCACUGUGUGUGCUUGUGAAUUUAAAACAAUUCAUUAUUAUGUCAGCAUAUCAUG